Molecule: unclassified non-coding RNA, 336 nt
Filed under: soil metagenome
Description: partial contains 5.8S ribosomal RNA, internal transcribed spacer 2, and large subunit ribosomal RNA
Rfam family: 5.8S ribosomal RNA (bases 1-120)
Source: RNAcentral
GAUGAAGAACGUAGUGAAAUGCGAUAAGUAAUGUGAAUUGCAGAAUUCAGUGAAUCAUCGAAUCUUUGAACGCACAUUGCGCCCGCCAGCAUUCUGGCGGGCAUGCCUGUUCGAGCGUCAUUUCAACCCUCAAGCUCUGCUUGGUGUUGGGGCCCUACGUCUGACGUAGGCCCUCAAAGACAGUGGCGGACCCUCUCGGAGCCUCCUUUGCGUAGUAACUAACGUCUCGCACUGGGAUUCGGAGGGACUCUUGCCGUAAAACCCCCAAUUUUUACAGGUUGACCUCGGAUCAGGUAGGAAUACCCGCUGAACUUAAGCAUAUCAAUAAGCGGAGGA